This 465-nucleotide ribosomal RNA is filed under the name uncultured bacterium. Its description in RNAcentral is "partial 16S ribosomal RNA". It matches the Rfam family "Bacterial small subunit ribosomal RNA", at positions 338 to 795 of the family's 1533-position model. The record is from RNAcentral.
CCUACGGGAGGCAGCAGUAGGGAAUAUUGCGCAAUGGGCGAAAGCCUGACGCAGCAACGCCGCGUGAGGGAUGAAGGUCUUCGGAUCGUAAACCUCUGUCAGCAGGGAAGAACGGUCACUGGGCUAAUCAGCAUUGCAUUGACGGUACCUGCAGAGGAAGCACCGGCUAACUCCGUGCCAGCAGCCGCGGUAAUACGGAGGGUGCGAGCGUUAAUCGGAAUUACUGGGCGUAAAGCGCUCGUAGGCGGGAUGUCAAGUCAAGGGUGAAAUCCCCGGGCUCAACUUGGGAACUGCCUUUGAAACCGGGAAACUGGAGUGUGGGAGAGGAUAGUGGAAUUCCAGGUGUAGGAGUGAAAUCCGUAGAUAUAUGGAGGAACAUCAGUGGCGAAGGCGACUAUCUGGAACAUAACUGACGCUGAGGAGCGAAAGCGUGGGUAGCAAACAGGAUUAGAUACCCGGGUAGUC